RNAcentral lists this ribosomal RNA (254 nucleotides) under uncultured bacterium. Its description in RNAcentral is "partial 16S ribosomal RNA". It matches the Rfam family "Bacterial small subunit ribosomal RNA", at positions 524 to 776 of the family's 1533-position model. The record is from RNAcentral.
UACGUAGGGGGCUAGCGUUACCCGGAUUCACUGGGCGUAAAGCGCGUGUAGGCGGCUGGCCAAGCGUGGUGUGAAAUCUCCGGGCUCAACCCGGAAACUGCACUGCGAACUGGCCUGGCUGGAGUGCAGGAGAGGGAUGCGGAAUUCACGGUGUAGCGGUGAAAUGCGUAGAUAUCGUGAGGAACACCAGUGGCGAAGGUGGCCGGCUGGGGGUGACCUGACGCUGAGGCGCGAAAGCGUGGGGAGCGAACCGG